CUACGGGUCGCUCCAGUGAGGAAUAUUGCACAAUGGAGGAAACUCUGAUGCAGCAACGCCGCGUGGAGGAUGACGCAUUUCGGUGUGUAAACUCCUUUUAUGAGUCAAGAGAAUGACGGUAGCUCAUGAAUAAGCACCGGCUAACUCCGUGCCAGCAGCCGCGGUAGUACGGAGGGUGCAAGCGUUACUCGGAAUCACUGGGCGUAAAGGACGCGUAGGCGGGAGAUCAAGUCAGGUGUGAAAUCCUACAGCUUAACUGUAGAACUGCACUUGAAACUGGUAACCUAGAGUAUGGGAGGGGGAGAUGGAAUUAGUGGUGUAGGGGUAAAAUCCGUAGAUAUCACUAGGAAUACCUAAAGCGAAGGCGAUCUCCUGGAACAUAACUGACGCUAAGGCGUGAAAGCGUGGGGAGCAAACAGGAUUAGAUACCCUGGUAGUC
RNAcentral lists this ribosomal RNA (439 nucleotides) under uncultured bacterium. RNAcentral's name for it is "partial 16S ribosomal RNA". It matches the Rfam family "Bacterial small subunit ribosomal RNA", at positions 339 to 795 of the family's 1533-position model. The record is from RNAcentral.